This 74-nucleotide transfer RNA is filed under the name Actinomycetota bacterium. Its description in RNAcentral is "tRNA-Val". It matches the Rfam family "tRNA". From Rfam's summary of the family: Transfer RNA (tRNA) molecules are approximately 80 nucleotides in length. Their secondary structure includes four short double-helical elements and three loops (D, anti-codon, and T loops). Further hydrogen bonds mediate the characteristic L-shaped molecular structure. tRNAs have two regions of fundamental functional importance: the anti-codon, which is responsible for specific mRNA codon recognition, and the 3' end, to which the tRNAs corresponding amino acid is attached (by aminoacyl-tRNA synthetases). tRNAs cope with the degeneracy of the genetic code in two manners: having more than one tRNA (with a specific anti-codon) for a particular amino acid; and 'wobble' base-pairing, i.e. permitting non-standard base-pairing at the 3rd anti-codon position. The record is from RNAcentral. Lineage: Bacteria; Bacillati; Actinomycetota.
GGGCGCUUAGCUCAGCUGGCCAGAGCACCGCCCUUACAAGGCGGGGGUCGGGGGUUCGAGUCCCUCAGCGCCCA